RNAcentral lists this ribosomal RNA (836 nucleotides) under Deladenus cf. laricis 104A1. Its description in RNAcentral is "eukaryotic LSU rRNA". It matches the Rfam family "Eukaryotic large subunit ribosomal RNA", at positions 355 to 958 of the family's 3401-position model. Lineage: Eukaryota; Metazoa; Nematoda; Chromadorea; Rhabditida; Sphaerulariidae. The record is from RNAcentral.
GAGGGAAAGUUGAAAAGUACUUUGAAGAGAGAGUUAAAUAGUACAUGAAACCGGUGGGGUGGAAACGGAAAGAGCUGACGUAUUCGGUUCGUAAUCAGCCGUCGAUGGCGUGCGACUAGUUGGUUUUUCGUCCGGCGAAUGUCGGUCGGCUUUCGGGUCGGCGGGCGUAUGUCGGGUGGGAGGCCGAUUGUGUCGUGCGUCUCGGCGGUGCAUUUACGGGCCAACGUGUGCCGAGGGGUGCGCGUCGAUCGCUUAACGCGUCGGGCUAGAGGAAACUCGUCUUUGGCGAGUGAAACCUGGCCCGUUGCCGAGGGCGCAUUCGGCGUGUGCUUUGUGGGUGUAUGCGAUGAACAUGGGUUUCUAUCUUGGGUAGCGGUCGUUGUUGUGGUUGCGGGUUAUGGCGGUCGCUUGCGACACGUGUAGCUCGUGGCGGCGGCGGCGGCCGGUCUUCGGCCCUACAUGUUCACCUCGGCAUAAAAGUCGGUCAUCUUUCCGACCCGUCUUGAAACACGGACCAAGGAGUUUAACGUAUGCGCGAGUCAUUGGGUGGUUGAAAACCUAAAGGCGUAAUGAAAGUAAAUGUGGACUUGACUCCACUGACAUGCGAUCCGGUUACGCUUCGGCGUACCGGCGCAGCAUGGCCCCGUUCCGAUCGCAUGCGAUGGGGCGGAGGUAGAGCGUAUGCGCUGAGACCCGAAAGAUGGUGAACUAUGCCUGAGCAGGACGAAGCCAGAGGAAACUCUGGUGGAAGUCCGAAGCGGUUCUGACGUGCAAAUCGAUCGUCUGACUUGGGUAUAGGGGCGAAAGACUAAUCGAACCAUCUAGUACCUGGUUCC